Molecule: unclassified non-coding RNA, 428 nt
Filed under: Seymeria laciniata
Lineage: Eukaryota; Viridiplantae; Streptophyta; Magnoliopsida; Lamiales; Orobanchaceae
Description: partial external transcribed spacer
Source: RNAcentral
AUUGGUUUGUGUUGGUGCGUUGGAUCCCUGCUCAGGCAGCGACGAUGCGUCACGCAUGCCUCUUCAGUUGGGGGCUUGAGCAUGUCUCGGCCAUUGUCGGUUUCCUGUGCUGAAUACCCAUUGCAUAGGCAUAAUACGGUUUGAAGCAUCAAGUUCCGCCUUGUGCUGCACCCCUCGCGGAUGCAGUGCCGGGUGGACAUCAAAGCACAUGACGUGUCCCACCUCACCUUCACAACUACGUGCAAGGGUUGUUGGCCCAUGUUAUUGUGCGCGAUAUCUCGGAUAUUGAACACUGAGGGGGUACGAGGUCAUCGACCUCAAUUUUGCCUAAACUACAAGCGUUCUACGCUUUGUGCGAACGACUAUCGAAUACGUGUUGAAUGGGUCCUAGUGGCUCAAUCUCAUGCGUGUCCGACGUCGAUGAGGGA